AUUGAACGCUGGCGGCAGGCUUAACACAUGCAAGUCGAACGAGUGGCGGACGGGUGAGUAAUGCUUGGGAAUCUGGCUGAUGGAGGGGGAUAACUACGGGAAACUGUAGCUAAUACCGCAUACCAUCGGAUGAGCCCAGGUGGGAUUAGGUAGUUGGUGGGGUAACGGCUCACCAAGCCGACGAUCUCUAGCUGGUCUGAGAGGAUGAUCAGCCACACUGGAACUGAGACACGGCCCAGACUCCUACGGGAGGCAGCAGUGGGGAAUAUUGCACAAUGGGCGCAAGCCUGAUGCAGCCAUGCCGCGUGUAUGAAGAAGGCCUUAGGGUUGUAAAGUACUUUCAGCGGGGAGGCGUUACCCGCAGAAGAAGCACCGGCUAACUCCGUGCCAGCCGCCGCGGUAAUAC
Molecule: ribosomal RNA, 406 nt
Filed under: uncultured bacterium
Lineage: Bacteria
Description: partial 16S ribosomal RNA
Rfam family: Bacterial small subunit ribosomal RNA
Source: RNAcentral